Helianthus annuus (common sunflower) is the source of this 561-nucleotide long non-coding RNA. RefSeq lists it as uncharacterized. The record is from RefSeq and is a predicted model, not a curated record. NCBI's taxonomy places the organism in Eukaryota, Viridiplantae, Streptophyta, Magnoliopsida, Asterales, Asteraceae. The transcript is spliced from 4 exons.
UUAAAUUAUUUAAAUGUUUCACAUGUUGCUUUGUUACUCAUGGUUGUUUGUUAUGCAUAACUUUCAGAGUCAGUUAGCGGGUUGGACCAAGUGGAACAUAUGUCUCAGCAGAAACCGAACUCUGUUGAAUCUGAUAGCCAGAAAUAUGACGGAGAUAGUGCUCCAAAUUCUGGUCAGUUUUCGCCUGGGAAGUCGUACCAGGCUGCUGUUUUAAAAAAUCGAUUUGCUGAUACGAUAUUUAAAGCUUGAGAAAAGACACUCAAUGAGGCUGGGGUUGCAAGAUCUGUAGGAGUGGGAUUCGCAGCAGUUUGGCAAUUAGCACUUGUGACACAUGUUGUGGUGCCUUUAGUUGCUAUAAUUGGAGUUAUUCAUAUGGCUACAUUGGAUAAAUUGUCUUCUAAAAGCCACGAAGCUUUUUUAGAAGCCAGAAGCAUUGUUGAGCCGGCGAUAACAACUUGAUUGUUACUGCUCGCCUUCAUAUAUAGUUAAAUGAUGUUAGAAACAGAUCCGAGGCCAAGUUUUGAUGAUGGGAUCAUAUUGAGGAGUUAGGUGGUGGAUCUG